Molecule: long non-coding RNA, 816 nt
Filed under: Numida meleagris (helmeted guineafowl)
Lineage: Eukaryota; Metazoa; Chordata; Aves; Galliformes; Numididae
Description: lncRNA (ENSNMEG00000019218.1)
Source: RNAcentral
GUUUUCCAUGGCAUAAAAGAUCCCACCAAUGGGAGCACAGUAUGCAGGGGCAUCUGAAUGGGAGCUGAUCUUGGAGAAGGAUAAAGAAGUUCUUGUUUCAAGGGGGCCAAAGAAGAUGUGGAGCAUAGACAAUGGAGAAGUUUUUGUUAAGAAACAGACAAAAUGUUUUCUGUCCUGAAGAAGGAAGAGGAGGAUAAAGAAGUAGCAGAGGACAACAUGGAAGGAAAACAGAACAAAAGCAAGUUUCACAGUACUCUGCAGUGUUCUACUCCUGUAAGCUUACAGCAGUCACUGCUGGAAUCAGGAACAGAAGAAUGUGCUUCUACCUGUCCAGUGUCAGUCUAUGUCAUGAGGAUGUGCUUGGACAUGAGGACCUGGGAAGAUGAGAGAGCUGCAGGCACUGAUGGCUUUGAAGUCAACUCCAACAGGACUCCUGCAUCUUCAUUUAGGUACCAAAAUCAAAGGCUUCCUCACCAGCAGUGCUAUAAGGUCAUGCAUGUUGAUAUUCAGAUUGGACCUAAUGCAGAACAAACUCUUCUGGAGAAAAAUCACCUCCUCUCCUGUUAGCCAUGCCUUACUUCCUGAUGCAGAAAAGGAUUUGGAGGAGUCAGCAGAAGAUAUUAUUGCUGCCUUGGCCUGGCCUUUUUGAAAGAGGAAUACCUGAAAGACUCCACACGCUAAGAAGGUUUCUGACCAGUGCAGACAGUGCUUUUACAGGCAGCCCCAUCUUCCUAGAAGAUAAAAGCGGAUAAUAGCCAUCCAGGAAAAGUUUUGUUUGGAAAUAGCUAUUAUAUAAGAAUGCUGAGCAGAUAGAGG